CGGCGUCGCGUCGCCAAGAUCUUCGAAACGCUGCGCGUGAGCAAGUUAAAUUCAAGGAAAGAGUUUGGUUCAAAAUUACCGAACAUUUUACAUCAAACAAAGGUCCUGCACAAAAUAAUCUUGAUAAGAGUCAUAAUUUUAGUCAUUAAACCAAUAACGGUGACCGAUUUUCUGAUAGUGAAGUGUAUUUACCUAUUGUGAUUGUGAAGUAGUGAUUCAUUGUUUGGCAAAAUUACUUCGCAGCAGUCUCGUCUCGACGUCAGUUAUAGCUAGUUAGUACAAAUGAAACACGUAAACUUUGAACGAAACCAAAAAAGUUGCCCGAUCCUAUUACUGGCUCUGCACAACACCAGUGUAGUCUUCACUUUAUAAUUUACUGAGAGUUUAUUUAAUUCCCAAAGUGGUAUUACAUUAACGUUUGUUUACUAGACUUUUACCUGCUAAACCGAAACGCAUCGAUCGGAGAUAAAUUUCGAUAAGCGUUGAUAAGUUUGGUUGUAGUUUUAAAUAGUAACAACGGGCAGUACGCCUCAGUCGUGGACGACUUGCUGUCUCGCCAUCAGUCACUCGCGACGAGACAAAAAAAAACAAAAUGUGUUGCUGUGUGUGCAAUCUGCUGUGCAAGCUCAUCAGUUUAGCAGUCUCGUUACUGUUCAUAGUAGCCUUUAUUCUUCUUAUCCUAUGGGCUGUCGGAGUUUUGUUCCAAAAAGACGACGACCCAACAAAGUUCAUGAAUCUGACGGAGAUGGACAGUUUUCAUUAUAAUAAUAAAAAGUUAAUAUAAAAAUAUAGAUAUAGUUCUCCCUCUA
This is a long non-coding RNA of Trichoplusia ni (cabbage looper), 809 nucleotides long. RefSeq lists it as uncharacterized. The record is from RefSeq and is a predicted model, not a curated record. NCBI's taxonomy places the organism in Eukaryota, Metazoa, Arthropoda, Insecta, Lepidoptera, Noctuidae. The transcript has 4 exons.